UUUUUGGGGAAUAAAUUUUAAAAGUUUUCGUUGGAACCAGCGGAGGGGAUCAUUACCGAAGUUUACAACUUCCCAAACCCAAUGUGAACGUUACCAAACUGAUUGCCUCGGCGGGGUCACGCCCCGGGUGCGUAAAAGCCCCGGAACCCAGGCGCCCGCCGGAGGAACCAACCAAACUCUUUCUGUAGUCCCCUCGCGGACGUAUUUUCUUACAGCUCUGAGCAAAAAUUCAAAAUGAAUCAAAACUUUCAACAACGGAUCUCUUGGUUCUGGCAUCGAUGAAGAACGCAGCGAAAUGCGAUAAGUAAUGUGAAUUGCAGAAUUCAGUGAAUCAUCGAAUCUUUGAACGCACAUUGCGCCCGCCAGUAUUCUGGCGGGCAUGCCUGUCCGAGCGUCAUUUCAACCCUCGAACCCCCUCCGGGGGAUCGGCGUUGGGGAUCGGGACCCCUCACCGGGUGCCGGCCCUGAAAUACAGUGGCGGUCUCGCCGCAGCCUCUCCUGCGCAGUAGUUUGCACAACUCGCACCGGGAGCGCGGCGCGUCCACGUCCGUAAAACACCCAACUUCUGAAAUGUUGACCUCGGAUCAGGUAGGAAUACCCGCUGAACUUAAGCAUAUCAAUAAGCGGAGGAAAAGAAACCAACAGGGAUUGCCCCAGUAACGGCGAGUGAAGCGGCAACAGCUCAAAUUUGAAAUCUGGCCCCUCCGGGUCCGAGUUGUAAUUUGUAGAGGAUGCUUUUGGUGAGGUGCCGCCCGAGUUCCCUGGAACGGGACGCCACAGAGGGUGAGAGCCCCGUCUGGCUGGCCACCGAGCCUCUGUAAAGCUCCUUCGACGAGUCGAGUAGUUUGGGAAUGCUGCUCAAAAUGGGAGGUAUAUGUCUUCUAAAGCUAAAUAUUGGCCAGAGACCGAUAGCGCACAAGUAGAGUGAUCGAAAGAUGAAAAGCACCUUGAAAAGAGGGUUAAACAGUACGUGAAAUUGUUGAAAGGGAAGCGCUUGUGACCAGACUUGGGCGCGGCGGAUCAUCCGGGGUUCUCUCCGGUGCACUUCGCCGCGUUCAGGCCAGCAUCAGUUCGUCGCGGGGGAAAAAGGCUUCGGGAACGUGGCUCCUCCGGGAGUGUUAUAGCCCGUUGCAUAAUACCCUGCGGUGGACUGAGGACCGCGCUCGCAGAUGCGCAUCCGUAAGGUCCCCACGAACUU
This 1198-nucleotide ribosomal RNA is filed under the name Ascomycota sp. L323. RNAcentral's name for it is "eukaryotic LSU rRNA". The stretch from base 575 to 1198 matches the Rfam family "Eukaryotic large subunit ribosomal RNA", at positions 1 to 608 of the family's 3401-position model. Lineage: Eukaryota; Fungi; Ascomycota. The record is from RNAcentral.